This 18-nucleotide ribosomal RNA is filed under the name Pseudohelicoon gigantisporum. Its description in RNAcentral is "Helicoon gigantisporum partial 28S ribosomal RNA". The record is from RNAcentral. Lineage: Eukaryota; Fungi; Ascomycota; Dothideomycetes; Tubeufiales; Tubeufiaceae. RNAcentral also lists the same sequence under 2 other names.
UUGACCUCGGAUCAGGAG